Molecule: non-coding RNA, 99 nt
Filed under: Clostridium senegalense
Lineage: Bacteria; Bacillati; Bacillota; Clostridia; Eubacteriales; Clostridiaceae
Description: SAM riboswitch (S box leader)
Rfam family: SAM riboswitch aptamer (S box leader)
About the family: The SAM riboswitch is found upstream of a number of genes which code for proteins involved in methionine or cysteine biosynthesis in Gram-positive bacteria. The SAM riboswitch acts at the level of transcription termination control.
Source: RNAcentral
UCUUAUCCAGAGUGGCGGAGGGACUGGCCCUAUGAUGCCCAGCAACCAGCUUUCAUUAGGCAAGGUGCUAAUUCCAGCGGUUUUUACCGAAAGAUAAGA